GGUUCAUUCAAAUUUCUGCCCUAUCAACUUUCGACGGCUGGGUCUUGGCCAGCCAUGGUGACAACGGGUAACGGAGGGUUAGGGCUCGACCCCGGAGAAGGAGCCUGAGAAACGGCUACUACAUCCAAGGAAGGCAGCAGGCGCGCAAAUUACCCAAUCCCGACCGGGGAGGUAGUGACAAUAAAUACUGAUACAGGGCUCUUUUGGGUCUUGUAAUUGGAAUGAGUACAAUUUAAAUCCCUUAACGAGGAACAAUUGGAGGGCAAGUCUGGUGCCAGCAGCCGCGGUAAUUCCAGCUCCAAUAGCGUAUAUUAAAGUUGUUGCAGUUAAAAAGCUCGUAGUUG
RNAcentral lists this ribosomal RNA (344 nucleotides) under uncultured fungus. RNAcentral's name for it is "SSU rRNA". It matches the Rfam family "Eukaryotic small subunit ribosomal RNA", at positions 292 to 636 of the family's 1831-position model. Lineage: Eukaryota; Fungi. The record is from RNAcentral.